GCCAGCUUAGCUCAGUGGUAGAGCAACUGAUUUGUAAUCAGUCGGUCGUCGGUUCGACUCCGACAGCUGGCU
This 72-nucleotide transfer RNA is filed under the name Verrucomicrobiales bacterium. RNAcentral's name for it is "tRNA-Thr". It matches the Rfam family "tRNA". Rfam says of the family: Transfer RNA (tRNA) molecules are approximately 80 nucleotides in length. Their secondary structure includes four short double-helical elements and three loops (D, anti-codon, and T loops). The record is from RNAcentral. Lineage: Bacteria; Pseudomonadati; Verrucomicrobiota; Verrucomicrobiia; Verrucomicrobiales. RNAcentral also lists the same sequence under 1 other name.